RNAcentral lists this unclassified non-coding RNA (331 nucleotides) under soil metagenome. RNAcentral's name for it is "partial contains 5.8S ribosomal RNA, internal transcribed spacer 2, and large subunit ribosomal RNA". The stretch from base 1 to 120 matches the Rfam family "5.8S ribosomal RNA", at positions 35 to 154 of the family's 154-position model. The record is from RNAcentral.
GAUGAAGAACGCAGCGAAAUGCGAUAAGUAGUGUGAAUUGCAGAAUUCAGUGAAUCAUCGAAUCUUUGAACGCACAUUGCGCCCUUUGGUAUUCCUUAGGGCAUGCCUGUUCGAGCGUCAUUUAAACCUUCAAGCUAAGCUUGGUGUUGGGUGACUGUCCGCCUCACGGCGGACUCGCCUCAAAAUUAUUGGCGGCCGGUACAUUGGCUUCGAGCGCAGCAGAAACGCGAACUCGGGCCCGUCGUAUUGGCUCCCAGAAGCUAUCUUCACAAUUUUGACCUCGGAUCAGGUAGGGAUACCCGCUGAACUUAAGCAUAUCAAUAAGCGGAGG